UGAGUGCUAAGUGUUGGAGGGUUUCCGCCCUUCAGUGCUGCAGCUAACGCAUUAAGCACUCCGCCUGGGGAGUACGGUCGCAAGACUGAAACUCAAAGGAAUUGACGGGGGCCCGCACAAGCGGUGGAGCAUGUGGUUUAAUUCGAAGCAACGCGAAGAACCUUACCAGGUCUUGACAUCUCCUGACCGCCUUGGAGACAGGGUCUUCCCUUCGGGGACAGGAUGACAGGUGGUGCAUGGCUGUCGUCAG
Molecule: ribosomal RNA, 250 nt
Filed under: uncultured bacterium
Lineage: Bacteria
Description: partial 16S ribosomal RNA
Rfam family: Bacterial small subunit ribosomal RNA
Source: RNAcentral